Podospora didyma is the source of this 106-nucleotide non-coding RNA. Lineage: Eukaryota; Fungi; Ascomycota; Sordariomycetes; Sordariales; Podosporaceae. The record is from the annotation of a GenBank genome assembly.
GCCAGUUAGUACAGUGGUAGUAUGUAGCAUAUCAGUCUCCUAGAUACGCGACUUGUAAAAGCGCUAACCCCUGCUAAGGACCUAGGUUCGAUUCCCAGACUAGGCC